CUCUCACUGUAUCAGUUUGACUGCAGCUUACAAGUUGCUGUAUCUUACUCAGGCAGCUUUAUUUUGCUGAGUAAUGUAUCGUUGAAUUCUUUUGAGAACUUCAGAUUUUUUUAUCAUUAGUUUCUUAAAUGAAGGGACUACCUGAUACAUGGACAUUUUGGCAGCUUCUCCUAAGACCGUCUGAGGGUUUGGAGUCUCGGUUCUUGUCUCAGUGAUCAGUUCCAGAUGGCUGAAGAGGCUGAUCGGGCACCGAUAAUUCUAAAAACGGCCUGAAGAUAAACUCAGCAGAGAGACCAGACACUGACUGUGCCGGUUAUCUGGUGGGACAAGAGAAGGUCCCAACUCAGUGUGUGGGAAACCCAGAGGGACAUGGGUAUGUGGUGAUAUAUGAGGAUAAAACCUUCACCAUGACUAAACAACCUCCAGCAGAAGAGGACUUGGAUCUAAUCAUCAUGGAGCUAUGAUGAGAUGGCCGACACUUGUUCCCAAAACAGUGGCUACAUUGAAAGAAAGGCAAAUAAAAAUUUUC
Long non-coding RNA from Colossoma macropomum (tambaqui), 529 nucleotides. RefSeq lists it as uncharacterized. The record is from RefSeq and is a predicted model, not a curated record. The transcript has 5 exons. NCBI's taxonomy places the organism in Eukaryota, Metazoa, Chordata, Actinopteri, Characiformes, Serrasalmidae.